AGUGAACGCUGGCGGCGUGCUUAACACAUGCAAGUCGAACGGACUUUAAGGGGCUUGCUUCUUAAAGUUAGUGGCGCACGGGUGAGUAAUGUAUAGCUAACCUGCCCUUUAGUGGGGGACAACAGUUGGAAACGGCUGCUAAUACCCCAUACUCCUUCUUAUCAUAAGGUAAGUUGGGAAAGAUUUAUUGCUAAAGGAUGGGGCUUUAUGGUAUCAGCUAGUUGGUGGGGUAAAGGCCUACCAAGGCUAUGACGCCUAUCUGGUCUGAGAGGAUGAUCAGGCACACUGGAACUGAGACACGGUCCAGACUCCUACGGGAGGCAGCAGUGGGGAAUAUUGCACAAUGGAGGAAACUCUGAUGCAGCAACGCCGCGUGGAGGAUGACGCAUUUCGGUGUGUAAACUCCUUUUAUAAGGGAAGAUAAUGACGGUACCUUAUGAAUAAGCACCGGCUAACUCCGUGCCAGCAGCCGCCGUAA
This 478-nucleotide ribosomal RNA is filed under the name uncultured bacterium. Its description in RNAcentral is "partial 16S ribosomal RNA". It matches the Rfam family "Bacterial small subunit ribosomal RNA", at positions 29 to 523 of the family's 1533-position model. The record is from RNAcentral.